UGCGCAGGCGGACUAUUAAGUCAGUGGUGAAAUCUCUCGGCUCAACCGAGAAACUGCCAUUGAAACUGAUAGCCUUGAGUGUGGUUGUGGUAGGCGGAAUAUAGCAUGUAGCGGUGAAAUGCUUAGAUAUGCUAUAGAACACCGAUCGCGAAGGCAGCUUACCAAACCAUUACUGACGCUCAUGCACGAAAGCGUGGGGAGCAAACAGGAUUAGAUACCCUGGUAGUCC
Molecule: ribosomal RNA, 229 nt
Filed under: uncultured bacterium
Lineage: Bacteria
Description: partial 16S ribosomal RNA
Rfam family: Bacterial small subunit ribosomal RNA
Source: RNAcentral